RNAcentral lists this ribosomal RNA (23 nucleotides) under Clonorchis sinensis. Its description in RNAcentral is "partial 5.8S ribosomal RNA". Lineage: Eukaryota; Metazoa; Platyhelminthes; Trematoda; Opisthorchiida; Opisthorchiidae. RNAcentral also lists the same sequence under 1 other name. The record is from RNAcentral.
CCACGCCUGUCCGAGGGUCGGCU